GAAGGGUGCAAGCGUUACUCGGAAUUACUGGGCGUAAAGCGUGCGUAGGUGGUGCGUUAAGUCUGUCGUGAAAGCCCCGGGCUCAACCUGGGAAUGGCGAUGGAUACUGGCGCGCUAGAGUGCGGUAGAGGAGAGUGGAAUUCCCGGUGUAGCAGUGAAAUGCGUAGAGAUCGGGAGGAACAUCAGUUGCGAAGGCGGCUCUCUGGACCAGCACUGACACUGAGGCACGAAAGCGUGGGGAGCAAACAGGAUUAGAUACCCUGGUAGUCCACGCCCUAAACGAUGCGAACUGGACGUUGGGAGCAACUAGGCUCUCAGUGUCGAAGCUAACGCGUUAAGUUCGCCGCCUGGGGAGUACGGUCGCAA
RNAcentral lists this ribosomal RNA (366 nucleotides) under uncultured bacterium. RNAcentral's name for it is "bacterial SSU rRNA". It matches the Rfam family "Bacterial small subunit ribosomal RNA", at positions 527 to 891 of the family's 1533-position model. The record is from RNAcentral.